CUCAGUGUAACAAGUCAAUAAGUCAGCAGAAGCAACUGACAGUAAUCAGGACAAACCAAGGCCUGGAAUCCAGAAUAACCAAUAAGUUAAGUCACAUACAGUUAUUUGGCUCAAUAGUUUAGCUCUAAACAGUCUGUAAUACAUAGGCCAGGUAGAAAUGGGCAGGAUAGGCAGUAAUACCAAAAGUCCCUCCUAACUCCUUUUUUGUAGCAUACUCAACACUUUCUCUGAAGUGAUGUUUUGCAGGCUGGGGAGAUUUCAGAAGCAAAGUGC
Non-coding RNA from Pelobates cultripes (western spadefoot toad), 273 nucleotides. Lineage: Eukaryota; Metazoa; Chordata; Amphibia; Anura; Pelobatidae. The record is from the annotation of a GenBank genome assembly.